This 371-nucleotide unclassified non-coding RNA is filed under the name Acacia podalyriifolia. RNAcentral's name for it is "partial external transcribed spacer". The record is from RNAcentral. Lineage: Eukaryota; Viridiplantae; Streptophyta; Magnoliopsida; Fabales; Fabaceae.
CUCGUGCCGUCCACCGAACGGUCGGCAGGCGAUCCGCGUUGGUCGCGCUGGGUGGUAUGGUUCCCCAGAGGCCGGUUCUUGUGCUGCCUACCCCUUCAGGGGAAGAGUUCCAAACUCGAUGUAAGCCUCCAUCCGGCGCCCUCCAAAGGGCGCGGGAGGACAACGGAGCACCCCCCGCGUUCCACCGAGCCUCCUCGGUCGCGUGGCCCGCGGGGACGUGCGAUGCUCUCGGACCCAGCGAACGCCGUGGGCGAGGACUCACGUCCCGGUCCCAAGUGAAGCAACGGUAUAACGCCGACGGCCGCUCCCGCCCCCCGACCGCCCCGGCGGCGCGGGGCGGGCGAAGGCGCGGCGUCGCUGAGGAAUGCUAC